CCCAAAACCCAAACCUAAACUAUCAACCCAAUUACCCUAGCCCGGACAGGCCCAAAAUCAACCCAACUUCCAGCCAAAGAAAGACCAGAAAACCCUAGCAUUCAACCUCAGCUGCCGCACGCAGCAUGGGGCCAAGUCCCUCCAUGCGUGCUGAGCCCCUGCCUCCACGUGCGCCUCCGUACACGCCACGUCCACCGCCUCCGUAAGUCGUACCUGCAAAUAGGAUGAAAACAACGCAACAAAGAAAGAGAAAAACAUUGUAUUUUUUAUUUCAUCUGUAUUUUUUUGAAUAUUUUGCUAUAAAAAAACAAACAGAAAGCCAUUGUUUUUGUUUUACGGGGACAGACGAAAAGCAAUAGAGAAAUAAAUUUUUUUUCAAAAACCAGUAAAGAACAAAUCAUUUCAGGUGGUUUUUUGACUUCGUUUUAUUAUUAUUAUUCUUUCGUUUUCUUUGAUUUGUUUUCAUUUUAGAUGCAAAAAAUAUAAAAUAAAAAGGGUGAGAUUACCUUUGUGUGCGCCAUCUAAAUCUCUGCUUGCUCCGUCCCAAAUCAGAGCUAAAAGUGGAGGGUCUAGAGUCUAUGCGGCGGCGAGAAAAAAACACAGAAGUGGCUACUGGUUUUAGGGUUUAAAAAAGGCUAUUUAAAGUAGGGAAAACAACACCGUUUAGGGCUUGUGUCAAUGGCUCUAAAACGGUGCUGUAUUGAGCCAUACCCGAUGACCCGACCCAAAUGAGACUAGAUCCACGCGUUUUGGCAGGGGGAGGGAUAUUUGCGCAUCAAGCCCUUUUGCUUUUGUGCCGUAGUUCAAUCUAGUGUUUUUUUUUUGUUUUGUUACUUUAAUUUUGGACAUACGAUUUUCUGCUGAUUGCAUUUCGAUCCCUAUUGGAACGCAGCAUUUUGGAAGGCAGGGAUUAAUUUCCCUUUUGACCGCUCUCUGUUAUGCGCGUGUUCAAUGGGGUUCGCAUCUUUGUAUUUAUUUCGAAUUGGCUCUCAAAUUUCAAUUUUGAUUUCAAAAUUAGUCUUUCUGUUGUUUUUGUACUGUUGCUGUUGUUAUUAUUAUUAUUAUUAUUAUAAUUAUUAUUACUCUUAUUUCUUCUUUAUAUUUUAGAUUAUGUCUUAAUUCUAGCUUAGUCUUUAAUAGCAUAAUUUUAAAUCGAAUUAGUACUUAUUUUAAUAUAUUUAUUUAUAGCCUAUUUUAAUACUUAGUUUGACAUUACUUUUAAACUUAUUAUUAAUAUAAUUUUAAGAUGUAGUAUGCUAUUAUUUUUAAAUUAUCAUUAACAUGUUUUAAAUUUAUAGCCAAGUAUUUAUUUUGAAAUAAAACCAUACAAAUUUUAAAUAAAAGUUUUUCGGGAUUUCAAAAUGUUGAAUCCUAACUCACUAGAUAUGACAUUUUGCUACCUCGAAUUAAGGAUUUUAAAAAUAAAGGCAAUAUUCGAUAUUUAGGAAUUUCGGGAAAUUGAACCCUAACUUACUGGGUUUUGAUUUUUCAUUUUACCCAAAUAACCAUCCUUCUCAAAAUGCAUGGGUUCUAAAAAUGUUGCGCCCUAACUUACUGGGUAUGACGUUUUAUUUCUUUGAAAUAAGAGUGUUUUAUUUUCAAUUUAUUCAAGUUAAAAGGAUUGUAUUUUAAAAUCUUUUCAAAAUUUCGACACUAAGACAUUAAAAAAUUAAUUUGGUACCAAUUUUGGGCGUUACGAGGGUGCUAACCCUUCCUCAUGCGUAACCGACUCCUGAACCUGUUUUCUCAAAUUUCGCAAACCAAAAUUGUUUUUAAGGUGAGCUGAUCACACCCCAAUAAAAAAUCGGUGGCGACACUAAUUUUUGUUUUUAAAGUCGACAACUAACUUUUGUUUCAAAAAAGUGGUUUCGACACACUUAAGUGAAACUAUUCUUUGUUUGUUUAUUUUCUUUUUACUCUUAUAAUGAUGCGAAAACUAAAAAUUACUUUGUUGUGUAAUAAAUAGAUAUAAUAAUAAGAGAGGUUGGAAGGUUUAGGUAAAUGCAUUCUCAUGAGAUUGAUGGGUUGUAAGAUUUAGGCUAUUUUACCUAAAUAGUCUAAAAAAUAUUAUAUUUAUCAAAAUAACCCAUGUUUAAAAACAAUCACCAAAAUAACCUGAAAUAAACAGUAAAAUGAGGUUGUGGCCUGUGAAUGGCCGGAACCAACUAGUAUUUUAGACACAUGAUUGUCUGAUAAUUGUGUCAGACUUAAAAAAAUGAUUUUUUUGGUUCUGGCCUGUCAAUGGCCGGAACUAGUGUAUUUUUUUUAAAUUGUAUAAUAAUGAUUUACAAAAAUGAAAAAUAAAAAAAAUUCGAGUUUUGGCCUGUCAAUGGCCGGCACCAAAAUACGAAAAAACUAAAAAAAAAAUUUGGUGGUGGCCUGCAAAUGGCCGGCACCACCUUUUUUGGGGGAAUUUUUUUUUUACAUAAAAAAAUUAAAUCAAUAUAAAAGCAAAAAAAAUUAAAAGUCCAUUUACAUAAAAAAAAAUAGUCCAAAUUACAAUUACCCAAAACCCAAACCUAAACUAUCAACCCAAUUACCCUAGCCCAGACAGGCCCAAAAUCAACCCAACUUUCAGCCAAAGAAAGACCAGAAAACCCUAGAAUUCAGCCUCAGCCGCCGUACGCAGCAUGGAGCCAAGUCCCUCCACGUGUGCCAAGCCCCUGCCUCCACGUGCGCCUCCGUACACGCCACGUCCACCACUUUCGUACGCCGUACCUGCAAAUAAGAUGAAAACAACGCAGCAGAGAAAGAGAAAAACAUUGUAUUUUUUAUUUUAUCUGCAUUUUUUCAAAUAUUUGGCUAAAAAAAACAAAAAGCCAUUGUAUUUUUUUUACGGGGACGGACGAAAAGAAAUAGAGAAAUAAAAAAAUUUUCAAAAACCAGUAAGGAACAGAUCUUUUUAGGUGGUUUUCCGACUUCGUUUUAUUAUUAUUAUUAUUAUUAUUAUUAUUAUUAUUAUUAUUAUUAUUGUUAUUAUUAUUGUUAUUAUUAUUAUUAUUAUUAUUAUUUCUUUCAUUUUCUUUGAUUUGUUUUCAUUUUAGAUGCGAAAAAUAUAAAAGAAAAAGGGUGAAAUUACCUUUGUGUGCGCUAUCUAAAUCUCUGCUUGCUCCGUCCCAAAUCAGAGCUGAAAGUGGAGGGUCU
RNAcentral lists this long non-coding RNA (3144 nucleotides) under Gossypium barbadense (sea-island cotton). Its description in RNAcentral is "long non-coding RNA (GBAR_LNC019227)". Lineage: Eukaryota; Viridiplantae; Streptophyta; Magnoliopsida; Malvales; Malvaceae. The record is from RNAcentral.